Molecule: ribosomal RNA, 386 nt
Filed under: uncultured bacterium
Lineage: Bacteria
Description: bacterial SSU rRNA
Rfam family: Bacterial small subunit ribosomal RNA
Source: RNAcentral
AUUGAACGCUGGCGGCAUGCCUUACACAUGCAAGUCGAACGGCAGCACGGGAGCAAUCCUGGUGGCGAGUGGCGAACGGGUGAGUAAUAUAUCGGAACGUGCCCAGUCGUGGGGAUAACGUAGCGAAAGCUACGCUAAUACCGCAUACGAUCUAUGGAUGAAAGCGGGGGAUCGCAAGACCUCGCGCGAUUGGAGCGGCCGAUAUCAGAUUAGGUAGUUGGUGAGGUAAAGGCUCACCAAGCCGACGAUCUGUAGCUGGUCUGAGAGGACGACCAGCCACACUGGGACUGAGACACGGCCCAGACUCCUACGGGAGGCAGCAGUGGGGAAUUUUGGACAAUGGGCGCAAGCCUGAUCCAGCAAUGCCCGCGUGCAGGAUGAAGGCC